This 243-nucleotide long non-coding RNA is filed under the name Brassica napus (rape). RNAcentral's name for it is "long non-coding RNA (BNAP_LNC018484)". The record is from RNAcentral. Lineage: Eukaryota; Viridiplantae; Streptophyta; Magnoliopsida; Brassicales; Brassicaceae.
AAAAAUGUUUCUAGCACAAUGUUUACGCUCUGCGUCGGGAAGGAGGUCUGCAACAACAUUAAUCAAACCUUUCUACUUGUCGGAUAUGAUAGUGAAUCCAUUUCCUAAACUCAAAUCCAAAUCAGACUUCAACUUAUCAACAAACCAAGCCCAUGAGGCAUUAUCUUCCACUCUAACUAUUGCCCAAGCUAUAGGAUAAAUCCUAUUAUCCGCAUCUCGUCCAACAGCUGCAAGAAUCUCACC